UACCCGGAUACUCCAUAUUUGUCGCAUGGCGAAUAUGGGAAAAGCUCCGGCGGCAAAGGAUGGGCCCGCGGCCUGUUAGCUAGUUGUGGGGUAGUGGCCUACCCAAGGCAAUGAUGGUAGCCGGGUUGAGAGACCGACCGGCCAGAUUGGGACUGAGACACGGCCCAGACUCCUACGGGAGGCAGCAGUGGGGAAUCUUGCACAAUGGGCGAAAGCCUGAUGCAGCGACGCCGCGUGCGGGAUGAAGGCCUUCGGGUUGUAAACCGCUUUCAGCAGGGGACGAGGCCGCAAGGUGACGGUACCUGCAGAAGAAGCCCCGGCUAACUACGUGCCAGCAGCCGCGGUAAU
Molecule: ribosomal RNA, 348 nt
Filed under: uncultured Atopobium sp.
Lineage: Bacteria; Bacillati; Actinomycetota; Coriobacteriia; Coriobacteriales; Atopobiaceae
Description: bacterial SSU rRNA
Rfam family: Bacterial small subunit ribosomal RNA
Source: RNAcentral